RNAcentral lists this ribosomal RNA (505 nucleotides) under uncultured bacterium. Its description in RNAcentral is "bacterial SSU rRNA". It matches the Rfam family "Bacterial small subunit ribosomal RNA", at positions 28 to 507 of the family's 1533-position model. The record is from RNAcentral.
AACGAACGCUGGCGGCGUGCUUCAGACAUGCAAGUCGUGCGAGAAAGCCCCCUUCGGGGGGUGAGUAGAGCGGCGCACGGGUGAGUAUCACGUGGGUAAUCUGCCUUCGGGUCUGGGAUAACCUCGGGAAACUGGGGCUAAUACCGGAUGAGACCACGAGGUCUUCGGACCUCGCGGAAAAAGGUGGCCUCUUCAUGAAAGCUAUCGCCUGGAGAUGAGCCCGCGUCCCAUUAGCUUGUUGGUGAGGUAACGGCUCACCAAGGCUCCGAUGGGUAGCUGGUCUGAGAGGAUGAUCAGCCACACUGGAACUGAGACACGGUCCAGACUCCUACGGGAGGCAGCAGUCGGGAAUUUUGGGCAAUGGGGGAAACCCUGACCCAGCAACGCCGCGUGAGGGAUGAAGGCCUUCGGGUCGUAAACCUCUGUCGGGAGGGAAGAAUGGCGUCCAUUCGAAUAGGGUGGGCGAUUGACGGUACCUCCAAAGGAAGCGCCGGCUAACUCCGUG